Molecule: ribosomal RNA, 253 nt
Filed under: uncultured bacterium
Lineage: Bacteria
Description: partial 16S ribosomal RNA
Rfam family: Bacterial small subunit ribosomal RNA
Source: RNAcentral
UACGUAGGUGGCAAGCGUUGUCCGGAUUUACUGGGCGUAAAGGGAGCGUAGGUGGAUAUUUAAGUGGGAUGUGAAAUACUCGGGCUUAACCUGGGUGCUGCAUUCCAAACUGGAUAUCUAGAGUGCAGGAGAGGAAAGUAGAAUUCCUAGUGUAGCGGUGAAAUGCGUAGAGAUUAGGAAGAAUACCAGUGGCGAAGGCGACUUUCUGGACACUUACUGACGCUGAGACGCGAAAGCGUGGGGAGCAAACAGG